AUGGAGGAUCUCCCAGAGCCACUGCUUGCAGAGAUCGUCAAGAGGAUUACCAGGACAAGUCAUCUUAAUUCUCUUUGCCUUGUGUCGAAGCAGCUCUACACUGUCGAGGCGGAGCACAGGGAUGCUAUCCUCGUUGGCUGUGGACUCGACCCUUCUACAGAAGCCUUGGUGUCGCUCUUCUCCCGGUUCCUCAAUUUGGCGAAAGUAGAGAUCAACUAUUCUGGAUGGAAGCCCAGCAACGGGGACCAGUUGAACAACCAAGGCCUCCGUGUUCUAUCUUCUCACUGCCCCUUGCUGUCCGAUCUUGCUUUAAGCUUCUGCUCAUACAUUGGUGACUCUGGUCUUGGCUAUCUAGCUGAUUGCAAAAAAUUGAGGUCGCUCAGGCUGGACUGUGCACCAGCAGUCACUUCUACUGGGAUUUUUCGUGUGGCGGUUGGUUGCAGGCACCUUUCGGUUCUCCACCUUGUUGACUGUAUGGAAGUAGACAAUGUGGAGUGGCUGGAGUACCUUGGGAGGUAUGGAUCACUAGGGGAACUUGUUGUAAAGGAUUGUGAUGAAAUCAACCAGUAUGACCUCUUAAAGUUUGGUCCAGGAUGGGCAAAUCUCCAAAAGUUUGAUUUUGGGAUCAUUGGAAAUUACUCCUAUGACCCCUCCUACGUGCUUGGCUACCCAUAUAGUUAUGAAAUCUGCUGUGAUAGCUUAAAGGAUCUUAGGUUGGCUCAUAUUAUAACCGAUCAAGAAAUUGGACUUCGUUUUCUCCUGGGGAAGUGCAAAGCAUUGGAGACGCUUUACCUGGAGUAUGUUAUUGGUCUAAAAGAGAAUGAGAUGAUUGCACUAUUUCAGAGGUGCAGCAACCUUAAUACCAUCUCACUUCGGCUCAUGCCUCUGCAUUGUGAAGAUGAUCAGUUCAGGACAGUGUUGACUGAUGUUAGCCUUAAGGCUCUAGCUCUCAGUUGCCCUAUGCUUCAGGUUGUUGAGCUCACAUUCACAUUGUGCGGACCCAAUUGGCCUACUGAGAUAGGUUUCACACAAGAGGGCAUUAUGACGCUAAUCCAAUCUUGUCCAAUUCGUGCCCUUUUGCUAAAUGGUGCCAGUAUUUUGUAUGACGAGGGGAUGAAGUGCCUCUCAUCCUCACAGUUCCUGGAGACACUUGAGCUCGUGGAUUGCUGCUCUAUAACUGAUGCUGGUAUGAAUUUCAUUAUUCAGGCUCCUUGCUUGAGGAGUCUCACACUCCGCCGAUGCAAGAAAGUGACAGACAAUGGGAUGGCUGAGCUGGCACGUAGACAGAAGUUGGAGUCACUGACCGUUAUAGGCUGCUGUAAUAUCUCUGAGGAGGGUGUGCAUGGGGCUGCCAAAACAGUCCGUUACUCUGCCGAGGUUGAAACCUGGUUCAAUUUAAAAGGAUUGAACAUGAAAAGGAACAGGAAAAGACGCCGGUCGCCCUGA
RNAcentral lists this ribosomal RNA (1446 nucleotides) under Triticum aestivum (bread wheat). RNAcentral describes it as "partial small subunit ribosomal RNA". Lineage: Eukaryota; Viridiplantae; Streptophyta; Magnoliopsida; Poales; Poaceae. The record is from RNAcentral.